RNAcentral lists this ribosomal RNA (627 nucleotides) under uncultured fungus. RNAcentral describes it as "eukaryotic LSU rRNA". The stretch from base 246 to 399 matches the Rfam family "5.8S ribosomal RNA". Lineage: Eukaryota; Fungi. The record is from RNAcentral.
CUUGGUCAUUUAGAGGAAGUAAAAGUCGUAACAAGGUUUCCGUAGGUGAACCUGCGGAAGGAUCAUUAAUGAGUUAGGGUCUUCCAGGCCCGAUCUCCAACCCUUUGUAUAACUACCAUGUUGCUUUGGCGGGCCCGUCUUUAACAGGACCGCCGGGAGUUUUUGAACCCCUGGCCAGUGCUCGUCAAUAGCCCUUAACAAACUCUUUUAACCAUGUUAAAUCUGAAAAUAUUUAAAUAAACUAAAACUUUCAACAACGGAUCUCUUGGUUCUGGCAUCGAUGAAGAACGCAGCGAAAUGCGGUAAGUAAUGCGAAUUGCAGAAUUCAGUGAGUCAUCGAAUCUUUGAACGCACAUUGCGCCCUUUAGUAUUCUGAAGGGCAUGCCUGUUCGAGCGUCAUUAUCACUAUUCAAGCUCGGCUUGCUAUUGGACAUUUUGUCGUUAAAAGACAUGUUCUAAAGAUAAUGACGGUGUCUUUUGGACCCUAGAUGCAACGAGCUUUAACCAGCACGCAUUUUAGUUAAACCAUCAGACCCGGUCUUUCGUAACCAAUUUUUCAGGUUGACCUCGGAUCAGGUAGGAAUACCCGCUGAACUUAAGCAUAUCAAUAAGCGGAGGAAAGGGACA